CACGUAGGGUGCGAGCGUUGUCCGGAAUUAUUGGGCGUAAAGAGCUCGUAGGCGGUGUGUCGCGUCGGCCGUGAAAACCUGCAGCUUAACUGUGGGCUUGCGGUCGAUACGGGCAUCACUGGAGUUCGGCAGGGGAGACUGGAAUUCCUGGUGUAGCGGUGAAAUGCGCAGAUAUCAGGAGGAACACCGGUGGCGAAGGCGGGUCUCUGGACAGGUACUGACGCUGAGACGCGAAAGCGUGGGUAGCAAACAGG
RNAcentral lists this ribosomal RNA (254 nucleotides) under uncultured bacterium. RNAcentral describes it as "partial 16S ribosomal RNA". It matches the Rfam family "Bacterial small subunit ribosomal RNA", at positions 524 to 776 of the family's 1533-position model. The record is from RNAcentral.